Chrysemys picta bellii (western painted turtle) is the source of this 1338-nucleotide non-coding RNA. The record is from RefSeq and is a predicted model, not a curated record. NCBI's taxonomy places the organism in Eukaryota, Metazoa, Chordata, Testudines, Emydidae.
GAGCUGCUCCUGCUCCGGAGCGGGAAGGAGGAGGCGGCUGGGGCAGCCGCUGCCGCGCUGCAGCUGGCUCAGCACCAUGGCCCAGUGCAGCACGGAGCAGCGGGGGCGGCCCCACUCGCCCGAGUACCGCCUCUACUUUAAGAAUGCGGAGGGUAAAUAUAUUUCCCCGUUUCAUGACAUUCCUCUGUUUGCUGGAUCUAAAGAGGAUAAGGAGGUUCCUGCGAAGAGAUCAAAGACUAAUGGAAGUGAGACUGGUCUUCCAAAGAAGCCACCACCCAGCAGAGCUGGUGAAACUGUAGUGUUUAACAUGGUUGUAGAAGUGCCUCGCUGGUCAAAUGCUAAAAUGGAGAUUGCCACCAAGGAACCAUUGAAUCCCAUUAAACAAGAUAUAAAGAGAGGCAAGCUUCGAUAUGUGGCCAAUAUCUUUCCUCACAAGGGUUAUAUAUGGAAUUAUGGUGCCCUCCCUCAGACUUGGGAAGAUCCACACCAUAAAGAUAAGGAUACAGGAUGCUGUGGUGAUAAUGAUCCCAUUGAUGUGUGUGAAAUAGGCACAAAGGUUCACUAUCCUGGUGAGAUCAUUCAGGUAAAGGUUCUUGGAGUUAUGGCUCUUAUUGAUGAAGGAGAGACAGAUUGGAAGAUUAUUGCCAUCAAUGUGGAUGACCCAGAAGCCCAGAAAAUUCAUGAUAUUGAUGAUGUCAAGAAACACAAACCGGGUUAUCUUGAGGCUACAGCUGAGUGGUUCCGAUUAUAUAAGGUCCCAGAUGACAAACCGGAAAAUCAGUUUGCUUUUAAUGGAGAGUUUAAAGACAAGGAUUUUGCUGUUGGAAUUAUUAAAUCCACCCAUGAAUACUGGAAAGCUUUGCUUCAUAAAAAGGCUGAUAGAGGUGCUAUAGAAUGUAUGAAUAUUUUGGUGCAUGACAGCCCCUUUCGUUGCAGUGAAGAGGAUGCCAGGUUAAUUGUGCAAUCACUGAGUUUCAGGACAGUUGGCCUAACUGUGCUCUGACAUUAGUGAAAGUCAGGAGUGUUCCACUGCGGUUGAUGGCGUUACCCCCGAGUAAAAUUGGUACAAUCAGAGAGAUCAGAAGAGGUAGUCUGUGUCUGACAGCAGUAGGCACCACCUCCUGCGAGUGGAGAUUCUGUUUCUGCAGAAGUUGAUGUGUGGCACUUUCUUAACAAGUGAUCAUCGGAAUAUUCUGAAGUCACAUCAUCAAAUCUUAAAUCAGCCCUUUUUUCCUGAGUUUUGAAGACAGGCUUGGUUCCUAAUUGCUGGGUUCCUGUUGGAACAACUUUUCAAGUAACAUAAACCCUCUAUCAUGUAAAUAAACUGAUAUUUUUAAA